AAGUAGGCCUGAGUCAGUGAAAGGUUUCUGGAGGGCGGGACAGAAUAGGGGUAUUAGGCGGAGGAUGGGGUUACUUACCAGUUGACACUCUGGCAAGACCCAUCCCCUAGUUUCCCACCACUAGUCUUGCUUCUACCCUCAAGUGAGGACUGUACUAUGAAUCUUUUGUUAGGAAGCUGCUGCUUGAGAGGCUCUGCCUCUAUGCGACUGGGACGAGACCUACUCUACAAGAAAAAUCUCCUGGUUAGUAAGAGCCCGCCAGGAGAGGAGGACUAGAUCUCUCCAGUGAAAGCUGGGACCAGGAGAGGUGGACAGUUUUCCCUCCCCCAAAAGCCCUCAAGAGUCCUCAUACAAUGGAAGAGUCUGCUGCCCGGGAGGCUGAUUUCCACCUUCAGUUCUACCCACUCCUGCUUCACCUGCUCCACCUUUCCCUAAAGAACUAUCGCCUCAUACGCAGAAGUCAGCGAAUCCAUUUUGGGGUAGUUUAAAACAAGCACGCACGGCCCAAAAAAGGAGGGGCUGUAGCCCUUUAAGGACUUCGCCAGGAUGGAUUCGGAGAGGAGUUUAAAAAUGCCAACUCACAGAGCGCGCUGGAUUCUGGGAACGAGGUGCCAGACCGAGAACUACAUUGACCAGUGUGCAACGCAAACACACACGCCUUUACUUCCUUUUGCUCUUUAGGACUCUGGUUUGACGUAGCGCUCCUCAAAGCAAGCUGCCUUAGGCUUAUGGCUCAGCCACACCCUUUCACCUAUUGGUGAGCUCGUGAGUUGGUGGGCGUGGCCUAGCGCAGCUCACCCAGGCAAAGGGGUGGCCUCCUUGCCAAUCAGAGCUAAGACGGCCGGAGAGGCGGGACCUGGGCGAAGUGCUGGCGCCCCAGAGUGGGUGUGGUCACGCUGCCCAGCAGUGGGCGGUGAUUGGCCCUGGGCGGUGCAAUCGCAGCUUGUGCGUCACGACGCCGCCAGCUGAUCGGAGCCUGGAGCCGGUGUGUGCUGGGCGCAGGGAAGACACAGCGCCGCCGGCCGUGGGGGACGGACGCACUGAUUUGCUCCCCUACCCUCAGCAGCCCCCCCACCCAGCACCAGGUGGGUGUGAGCUGGGGUCUCCGCCGCACAGGAGGGAACCGUGCUAACAGGGUAACGGGGGAAAGUAGGGUCCUGGUGGCCACACCCUGCCCUUCCGGGGGAGGGGAGAGGGGGCGGCGGGGGUAGGGGAGCUUUGGGGCAGAGGGGCCUGAACUGGCUGGAGUAGUGUGGCAGGAGGUUUAAAGAAGGAGCCAGGACAGCAGUAGUGGCGGAAGGUUUUGCAGAGUGGCUAAAAGGGAGACGAGGGGCUGGAGGGCUGGGGGCAGCUAACCUGGGCGCCCCCUGGUCAAAGGAUAUGAGAACUGGCCUUCUAGCUUGCGGAGGGUUUGGACCCGGCGGGUAGUGAGGAGGUAGUUUUCCUUUACUGGCAGUCAGUGGGUCAGGGCCAAUUGAGCGCCCUGGCAGGGAAGGGGUCUCUGGGCGGGCCGGCCCCUCCUCUCGUUCCCUCCAGGGGAUGUUAUGUAAGGGGGGAGGGGAGAGGAGUAGGGGGCGGCGGUGCGGGGGCCUUAUGCAACCCAAAGGUUAGGGUUUCACCGCGGUUGGUGGGGGAAGCGGGCUGGAGGAGGACCUGGAAACUCUAACCCCCCCUCCCCAGCCUAACUGGCCGUCUUGGGCCCAGAGAAGGUCACCUCUGCACCUCCCCCCAGCAUGUCCGGUUGUGGGGCCCCUAGCCCAGGCCUGGCCCUGACCGCCUGGGAAGCCGGCUGACUGGGUGGGGCGCCUGGGUUAGUCAUCACUGGGCUCCCUCUCUCCCCACCUCUCGGCCAACUCUUGGCCCCUCCCUAUGGCCUCUCGCUAGGCUAUCGCCCCCACCUCCCUCCGGCCCUAGUUACAGCCUCCAACUCAUUUGGCCUGUCAUCCUGGCUGUCAGACUGGGCUAGGAAUUGUCAGGGUGCCAAAGGGUUGAUGGAGCAGCUGGUCAGAGGGUCAGUGCCCUGGGCCCACCCCGCCCUGCAGCCAAGGGCACCUGCUUGGCACAGACUCUGAGCAGCCGCUGAGUCCUAUGGGCUGAAUAGAGCUGGCUCAGACAGAGGAGAGUGGGAAGGAGUUGGACUGGUCACCUGGGGGAAGGAAGAUACCACAAAGUUCAUGUCUCCCUAGAGGGUUUUGUAAUUUGAAAACCUCCCACCCCCACCCUAGUCUUUCUUAUCCUCUGAGUAUAGAAGUCUGAAAGCAAGACCGCCUUGGCCGCUCACACUGGCAUGGGCCAUGCCCUUGGACUGAGUGUCAGCACAGACCCGCCCUCCCCAGCUCUCAGCCCUCUAGCCUGCCACGCCCCCAGCCCCCUCCCUGGGCCAUGCUGCAGGGCCCGGCUUUUCCUGCUGAUUCAUGCGUUGGAACUGUGGGGGCGGGGCUUGGAACUUGGAACAAAGUUCAGACAUGGAGGGGCCGGCAGACAGCCUGGAAUUCAUACCAGAUGUACCCGGAAUGCGCAAGCGGAAUGCCUGGCAUUUGAGAGUCUUGGGGAAGCUGCCCAUCCACCCUGCCCAUACCUCCCUCCCCUCCAGCCUUUGGUCCCCUGUCCUCUCCUCACAGUCCCUGGAGCCUCUGCUGACCUUCCAAACACUUCCUUACUCUUCCCCAGAUGUAGGCCCCCAAAACUCUUCUAGCUGAACUCUUUGGGAACAAGUCAGUUGGGCUGAUCACUGAACUCACAUUUUUGGACCUAAGGUACAACUUCUCACCAAGUACCUGGGCGAUUGGUGGGACGUGUCCAAGGUUCUAAGUCCUGCCCUCUCUGAAUGCUGAAGAGGAGGGGCCCUUCGUGGGUAGCUGAGGCAAGGGGUGGGGGGUGGGGUGAGAGCAGGCCUGGGUCUCUACAGCCUUCAGUUCUGGAAAGAGGUGCAAGGAGGUAUGUUUAGAGCUGCCUCUUGCUUCUCACUGAAGUCAACCGCUCCUGCAGGCCCAAGUCAAAGCCAAGAACCCUUUGUUACAAGGUUGAGCAUCUGUUGGAGCUGGACUUUGAUGCCAGUGGGACAGUGCCCCUGUGACAUGGCCCUGCUUAGAUCCUUCCCAUUUUUCUUCCCUUUCCUUUUAGGAGCCUGUCCCUCCCACAUCCUCAACUGGCUGAGCCGCAGUAGUUCUUCAGUGGCAAGCUUUAUGUCCUGACCCAGCUAAAGCUGCCAGUUGAAGAACUGUUGCCCUCUGCCCCUGGCUUCAAGGAGGAGGAGGAAGAGGAGAAGGAGCUGCUUUCCCCCUCAUCUGGAAGGUGACGGAACUGGGGCUGGGAAGGUCAGAACAGCGGGAGUGGUGAUGCCUUUUGGAAAAGGGAACCUUGUUCAGUUGGAGACCCUUCAGCCAGAUUGGCCCAGCAAGAGAGAACAGUUGUAGAUUAGAGACCCUCGUUGGGCUGGGGACUAGAUGGCUGUGACUACCCAAGGUUAGUUGGUCUACAUCAGUGUGUGACAAAGGGAAGACAAUGGGAGCAAAGAAAACUGGCAACACCUUUACUCAGAUGUCUUUCUUGACCCUCCUUCCUGUCUCCCUUUCUUUCCUACUGCCUUUCCAGGUGAGGUCCAAAGUAAAUUUCAUCUUCAGGGAAGAGGUCAUACUGAAACUCCCAUCUGAGUAGUCAACCCCAUGCUCUUAGCUUUCCCUGUAUUUCCUCAGACUGGCCUAGACUCCAGUUACAGGGAUAAAUCACCUAUA
RNAcentral lists this long non-coding RNA (3734 nucleotides) under Lynx pardinus (Iberian lynx). The stretch from base 3151 to 3234 matches the Rfam family "mir-22 microRNA precursor family". The record is from RNAcentral. Lineage: Eukaryota; Metazoa; Chordata; Mammalia; Carnivora; Felidae.